Molecule: ribosomal RNA, 2904 nt
Filed under: Escherichia coli
Lineage: Bacteria; Pseudomonadati; Pseudomonadota; Gammaproteobacteria; Enterobacterales; Enterobacteriaceae
Description: 23S ribosomal RNA
Rfam family: Bacterial large subunit ribosomal RNA
Source: RNAcentral
GGUUAAGCGACUAAGCGUACACGGUGGAUGCCCUGGCAGUCAGAGGCGAUGAAGGACGUGCUAAUCUGCGAUAAGCGUCGGUAAGGUGAUAUGAACCGUUAUAACCGGCGAUUUCCGAAUGGGGAAACCCAGUGUGAUUCGUCACACUAUCAUUAACUGAAUCCAUAGGUUAAUGAGGCGAACCGGGGGAACUGAAACAUCUAAGUACCCCGAGGAAAAGAAAUCAACCGAGAUUCCCCCAGUAGCGGCGAGCGAACGGGGAGCAGCCCAGAGCCUGAAUCAGUGUGUGUGUUAGUGGAAGCGUCUGGAAAGGCGCGCGAUACAGGGUGACAGCCCCGUACACAAAAAUGCACAUACUGUGAGCUCGAUGAGUAGGGCGGGACACGUGGUAUCCUGUCUGAAUAUGGGGGGACCAUCCUCCAAGGCUAAAUACUCCUGACUGACCGAUAGUGAACCAGUACCGUGAGGGAAAGGCGAAAAGAACCCCGGCGAGGGGAGUGAAAAAGAACCUGAAACCGUGUACGUACAAGCAGUGGGAGCACGCUUAGGCGUGUGACUGCGUACCUUUUGUAUAAUGGGUCAGCGACUUAUAUUCUGUAGCAAGGUUAACCGAAUAGGGGAGCCGAAGGGAAACCGAGUCUUAACUGGGCGUUAAGUUGCAGGGUAUAGACCCGAAACCCGGUGAUCUAGCCAUGGGCAGGUUGAAGGUUGGGUAACACUAACUGGAGGACCGAACCGACUAAUGUUGAAAAAUUAGCGGAUGACUUGUGGCUGGGGGUGAAAGGCCAAUCAAACCGGGAGAUAGCUGGUUCUCCCCGAAAGCUAUUUAGGUAGCGCCUCGUGAAUUCAUCUCCGGGGGUAGAGCACUGUUUCGGCAAGGGGGUCAUCCCGACUUACCAACCCGAUGCAAACUGCGAAUACCGGAGAAUGUUAUCACGGGAGACACACGGCGGGUGCUAACGUCCGUCGUGAAGAGGGAAACAACCCAGACCGCCAGCUAAGGUCCCAAAGUCAUGGUUAAGUGGGAAACGAUGUGGGAAGGCCCAGACAGCCAGGAUGUUGGCUUAGAAGCAGCCAUCAUUUAAAGAAAGCGUAAUAGCUCACUGGUCGAGUCGGCCUGCGCGGAAGAUGUAACGGGGCUAAACCAUGCACCGAAGCUGCGGCAGCGACGCUUAUGCGUUGUUGGGUAGGGGAGCGUUCUGUAAGCCUGCGAAGGUGUGCUGUGAGGCAUGCUGGAGGUAUCAGAAGUGCGAAUGCUGACAUAAGUAACGAUAAAGCGGGUGAAAAGCCCGCUCGCCGGAAGACCAAGGGUUCCUGUCCAACGUUAAUCGGGGCAGGGUGAGUCGACCCCUAAGGCGAGGCCGAAAGGCGUAGUCGAUGGGAAACAGGUUAAUAUUCCUGUACUUGGUGUUACUGCGAAGGGGGGACGGAGAAGGCUAUGUUGGCCGGGCGACGGUUGUCCCGGUUUAAGCGUGUAGGCUGGUUUUCCAGGCAAAUCCGGAAAAUCAAGGCUGAGGCGUGAUGACGAGGCACUACGGUGCUGAAGCAACAAAUGCCCUGCUUCCAGGAAAAGCCUCUAAGCAUCAGGUAACAUCAAAUCGUACCCCAAACCGACACAGGUGGUCAGGUAGAGAAUACCAAGGCGCUUGAGAGAACUCGGGUGAAGGAACUAGGCAAAAUGGUGCCGUAACUUCGGGAGAAGGCACGCUGAUAUGUAGGUGAAGUCCCUCGCGGAUGGAGCUGAAAUCAGUCGAAGAUACCAGCUGGCUGCAACUGUUUAUUAAAAACACAGCACUGUGCAAACACGAAAGUGGACGUAUACGGUGUGACGCCUGCCCGGUGCCGGAAGGUUAAUUGAUGGGGUCAGCGCAAGCGAAGCUCUUGAUCGAAGCCCCGGUAAACGGCGGCCGUAACUAUAACGGUCCUAAGGUAGCGAAAUUCCUUGUCGGGUAAGUUCCGACCUGCACGAAUGGCGUAAUGAUGGCCAGGCUGUCUCCACCCGAGACUCAGUGAAAUUGAACUCGCUGUGAAGAUGCAGUGUACCCGCGGCAAGACGGAAAGACCCCGUGAACCUUUACUAUAGCUUGACACUGAACAUUGAGCCUUGAUGUGUAGGAUAGGUGGGAGGCUUUGAAGUGUGGACGCCAGUCUGCAUGGAGCCGACCUUGAAAUACCACCCUUUAAUGUUUGAUGUUCUAACGUUGACCCGUAAUCCGGGUUGCGGACAGUGUCUGGUGGGUAGUUUGACUGGGGCGGUCUCCUCCUAAAGAGUAACGGAGGAGCACGAAGGUUGGCUAAUCCUGGUCGGACAUCAGGAGGUUAGUGCAAUGGCAUAAGCCAGCUUGACUGCGAGCGUGACGGCGCGAGCAGGUGCGAAAGCAGGUCAUAGUGAUCCGGUGGUUCUGAAUGGAAGGGCCAUCGCUCAACGGAUAAAAGGUACUCCGGGGAUAACAGGCUGAUACCGCCCAAGAGUUCAUAUCGACGGCGGUGUUUGGCACCUCGAUGUCGGCUCAUCACAUCCUGGGGCUGAAGUAGGUCCCAAGGGUAUGGCUGUUCGCCAUUUAAAGUGGUACGCGAGCUGGGUUUAGAACGUCGUGAGACAGUUCGGUCCCUAUCUGCCGUGGGCGCUGGAGAACUGAGGGGGGCUGCUCCUAGUACGAGAGGACCGGAGUGGACGCAUCACUGGUGUUCGGGUUGUCAUGCCAAUGGCACUGCCCGGUAGCUAAAUGCGGAAGAGAUAAGUGCUGAAAGCAUCUAAGCACGAAACUUGCCCCGAGAUGAGUUCUCCCUGACCCUUUAAGGGUCCUGAAGGAACGUUGAAGACGACGACGUUGAUAGGCCGGGUGUGUAAGCGCAGCGAUGCGUUGAGCUAACCGGUACUAAUGAACCGUGAGGCUUAACCUU